UAGGGAAUAUUGGACAAUGGGUGAGAGCCUGAUCCAGCCAUGCCGCGUGCAGGAAGAAGGCGUUAUGCGUUGUAAACUGCUUUUUGCCAGGGGAUAAAAUGAGCAUGCGUGCUUAAUUGAAGGUACCUGGUGAAUAAGCCACGGCUAACUACGUGCCAGCAGCCGCGGUAAUACGUAGGUGGCAAGCGUUGUCCGGAUUUAUUGGGUUUAAAGGGUGCGUAGGUGGCCCUGUAAGUCAGUGGUGAAAUAUCUCAGCUUAACUGAGAGGGUGCCAUUGAUACUGCAGGGCUUGAGUACAGAUGAGGUAGGCGGAAUUGACGGUGUAGCGGUGAAAUGCAUAGAUAUCGUCAAGAACACCGAUAGCGAAGGCAGCUUACCAAGCUGUAACUGACACUGAGGCACGAAAGUGUGGGGAUCAAACAGGAUUAGAUACCCAAGUAGUCCCUGAGCGGGCUGGCAAGGCGCAU
RNAcentral lists this ribosomal RNA (467 nucleotides) under uncultured bacterium. Its description in RNAcentral is "bacterial SSU rRNA". It matches the Rfam family "Bacterial small subunit ribosomal RNA", at positions 355 to 825 of the family's 1533-position model. The record is from RNAcentral.